ACGGGUGAGUAACGCGUGGGAAUCUACCGUACCCUACGGAAUAGCUCUGGGAAACUGGAAGUAAUACCGUAUACGCCCUAACGGGGAAAGAUUUAUCGGGGUAUGAUGAGCCCGCGUUGGAUUAGCUAGUUGGUGGGGUAAAGGCCUACCAAGGCGACGAUCCAUAGCUGGUCUGAGAGGAUGAUCAGCCACAUUGGGACUGAGACACGGCCCAAACUCCUACGGGAGGCAGCAGUGGGGAAUAUUGGACAAUGGGGGCAACCCUGAUCCAGCCAUGCCGCGUGAGUGAUGAAGGUCUUAGGAUUGUAAAGCUCUUUCAACGGUGAAGAUAAUGACGGUAACCGUAGAAGGAGCCCCGGCUAACUUCGUGCCAGCAGCCGCGGUAAUACGAAGGGGGCUAGCGUUGUUCGGAAUUACUGGGCGUAAAGCGCACGUAGGCGGGUAUUUAAGUCAGGGGUGAAAUCCCGCAGCUCAACUGCGGAACUGCCUUUGAUACUGGGUAUCUUGAGUAUGGAAGAGGUAAGUGGAAUUGCGAGUGUAGAGGUGAAAUUCGUAGA
RNAcentral lists this ribosomal RNA (557 nucleotides) under uncultured bacterium. Its description in RNAcentral is "bacterial SSU rRNA". It matches the Rfam family "Bacterial small subunit ribosomal RNA", at positions 102 to 694 of the family's 1533-position model. The record is from RNAcentral.